AGUGAACGCUGGCGGUAGGUCUAACACAUGCAAGUCGAACGGCAGCACAGUAAGAGCUUGCUCUUACGGGUGGCGAGUGGCGGACGGGUGAGGAAUACAUCGGAAUCUACUUUUUCGUGGGGGAUAACGUAGGGAAACUUACGCUAAUACCGCAUACGAACUACGGGUGAAAGCAGGGGAUCUUCGGACCUUGCGCGAUUGAAUGAGCCGAUGUCGGAUUAGCUAGUUGGCGGGGUAAAGGCCCACCAAGGCGACGAUCCGUAGCUGGUCUGAGAGGAUGAUCAGCCACACUGGAACUGAGACACGGUCCAGACUCCUACGGGAGGCAGCAGUGGGGAAUAUUGGACAAUGGGCGCAAGCCUGAUCCAGCCAUACCGCGUGGGUGAAGAAGGCCUUCGGGUUGUAAAGCCCUUUUGUUGGGAAAGAAAAGCAGCAGGUUAAUACCCCGCUGUUCUGACGGUACCCAAAGAAUAAGCACCGGCUAACUUCGUG
Molecule: ribosomal RNA, 492 nt
Filed under: uncultured bacterium
Lineage: Bacteria
Description: partial 16S ribosomal RNA
Rfam family: Bacterial small subunit ribosomal RNA
Source: RNAcentral